This 632-nucleotide ribosomal RNA is filed under the name uncultured archaeon. Its description in RNAcentral is "bacterial SSU rRNA". It matches the Rfam family "Archaeal small subunit ribosomal RNA", at positions 5 to 638 of the family's 1478-position model. The record is from RNAcentral.
CGGUUGAUCCUGCCGGAGGCCACUGCUAUUGGAGUCCGACUAAGCCAUGCGAGUCCAGGGGGGCUUUGCCCACCGGCGGACGGCUCAGUAACACGUGGACAACCUGCCCUCGGGAGGGGGAUAACUCCGGGAAACUGGAGCUAAACCCCCAUAGGUCAUGGGUGCUGGAAGGCCCUGUGGCUGAAUUCCUUCGGGAGCCCGAGGAUGGGUCUGCGGCCUAUCAGGUUGUAGUGGGGGUAACGGCCCCACUAGCCUACGACGGGUACGGGCCUUGGGAGAGGGAGCCCGGAGAUGGACUCUGAGACACGAGUCCAGGCCCUACGGGGCGCAGCAGGCGCGAAACCUCCGCAAUGCGGGAAACCGCGACGGGGGGACCCCCAGUGCCGUGGCAUCGCCACGGCUUUUCCGGAGUGUAAAGAGCUCCGGGAAUAAGGGCUGGGCAAGGCCGGUGGCAGCCGCCGCGGUAAUACCGGCGGCCCGAGUGGUGGCCGCUAUUAUUGGGCCUAAAGCGUCCGUAGCCGGGCCCGUAAGUCCCUGGCGAAAUCCCACGGCUCAACCGUGGGGCUUGCUGGGGAUACUGCGGGCCUUGGGACCGGGAGAGGCGGAGGGUACCCCUGGGGUAGGGGUGAAAU